UACAGAGGGUGCAAGCGUUGUUCGGAAUUAUUGGGCGUAAAGCGCGUGUAGGCGGCUUUGCAAGUCGGGUGUGAAAUCCCUCAGCUUAACUGAGGAAGUGCGCCCGAAACUGCCGAGCUUGAGUACCGGAGAGGGUGGCGGAAUUCCCCAAGUAGAGGUGAAAUUCGUAGAUAUGGGGAGGAACACCGGUGGCGAAGGCGGCCACCUGGACGGAUACUGACGCUGAGACGCGAAAGCGUGGGGAGCAAACAGG
RNAcentral lists this ribosomal RNA (253 nucleotides) under uncultured bacterium. Its description in RNAcentral is "partial 16S ribosomal RNA". It matches the Rfam family "Bacterial small subunit ribosomal RNA", at positions 524 to 776 of the family's 1533-position model. The record is from RNAcentral.